GUCAGGAUGGCCGAGUGGUCUAAGGCGCCAGACUCAAGGUUAAACCUUCCUGUGAAACGGGACUUCUGGUCUCCGAAUGGAGGCGUGGGUUCGAAUCCCACUUCUGACA
Molecule: transfer RNA, 109 nt
Filed under: Oreochromis niloticus (Nile tilapia)
Lineage: Eukaryota; Metazoa; Chordata; Actinopteri; Cichliformes; Cichlidae
Also listed under: 1 other name
Rfam family: tRNA
About the family: Transfer RNA (tRNA) molecules are approximately 80 nucleotides in length. Their secondary structure includes four short double-helical elements and three loops (D, anti-codon, and T loops). Further hydrogen bonds mediate the characteristic L-shaped molecular structure. tRNAs have two regions of fundamental functional importance: the anti-codon, which is responsible for specific mRNA codon recognition, and the 3' end, to which the tRNAs corresponding amino acid is attached (by aminoacyl-tRNA synthetases). tRNAs cope with the degeneracy of the genetic code in two manners: having more than one tRNA (with a specific anti-codon) for a particular amino acid; and 'wobble' base-pairing, i.e. permitting non-standard base-pairing at the 3rd anti-codon position.
Source: Rfam by way of RNAcentral